This 708-nucleotide ribosomal RNA is filed under the name Triticum aestivum (bread wheat). Its description in RNAcentral is "partial small subunit ribosomal RNA". Lineage: Eukaryota; Viridiplantae; Streptophyta; Magnoliopsida; Poales; Poaceae. The record is from RNAcentral.
AUGGAUCACAACUCCAGAGCCAAGCGCACCGCCGUACAUAGCGUUGUCACCUCAGACAUGCCUUCUAUUGUCUGCAUCCAAGAGACUAAACUUGCCCACAUCACGCUGCCACUUGUGGUCGAGACUCUCGAGCCUUCCUUCGACGGUUUCUUCUUUCUCCCUAUGGAGGAGACCCGGGGCGGUAUUCUUCUAGCUCGGCGUAGCUCUGUGCUAUUUGUUACCAGUCCUUCCUAUGGCUACCACCACAUCACGGCGGCGGUCUCCUCGCUCGCCGGUGAUCGGCGCUGGUGGCUAACUGGCAUCUACGGCCCUCAAAGCGAUGUCGAGAAGCUGCAAUUCCUUGCCGAUUUGCAGGAGGAGCGGGUGAACUGCGCAGGGCCUUGGGUCCUUGGAGGCAACUUCAACAUGAUCGCUUCCGCUGACGACAAAAACAACUCACGCCUCAACUUGCACAUGAUGCGGAGAUUCCGGUGCUUCAUGGCAGACAUGGAGCUGCGAGACCUUUACCUCCACGGUCGUCCCUAUACUUGCGCUAACAAGCGAGAUAACCCCACGCUAGUCCGAAUUGACCGUGUGCUCUGCACCCCCGCAUGGAAUGAAGCUAACCCACACUAUCAACGUCACUGCCUUUCCUCUGCGGCCUCCGAUUAUUUCCCUCAUGGUAGAUUGCACAGUGAGCUCACCCGAGUCGUGUCGGUUUCGCUUUGA